UACCCAAAAUUAAAAGUGGCAGUCUUACACGAUCUGAUCAUUACUUGCCCCAAACUCAAGGCAAAAGUUUACAAGGUAGUAGUACAUGAUUGAUGAUACAUAAGUUUUGCUCCAUAAAAAAAGGACCGAUUAGAACGCAUGUGAUUUUCACGAGGAAAACCACUUGAUUCGUAUGUACAGAAAAACGGUGGAAACCCCUGUAGACUGACCCGGCAAACAAGCAUCAUCAGUGCAUGGAUACUGGACCAAAAACACCAUAAGAAAUUAAAGAGAACGGAGCAAGCGAGCAAUCAGCCAGCUAGUACUAGUACAUAUAUAUUGUACAGCCGUGAUCUGGUCGGAGAUGAGACGAUGACCCGCCGGCGGCGGCCGGCCGGCGCGGCGGAGGCCCAUCGAUCGAUCACUUGGGCCCCCAAAGCAGCAGGUGCAUCACCUUGUCCGCCUUGCCGCCGCCGUCCGCCGCGCGCCGCCCCGCCGUUGCCGCCGGCGUGGCCGCGGCCGCGGCCGCGCGGGGUACCCGCAGCUGCUGGCCGGCGUCGCGCGCCAGCGCACGCAGCGUCGCCGGGAGCUCCCACCUGCUCUCGCGCCCGCUGCUCAUGGCGAAUCAACCACCGCUUUCUCCUUGGCCCUUCUUGCUAUGCUAUCUAGCUCGUGCUGCUCAUCCUCAGUCCGGUCUCUUCUCUCUCCCAGCCACCUCACCUAGCCUCUUAUACUGCCACUGCACUACUCCUGGUCAUGAGUCACACACAAUUUUACAUUUUAGCCUUUUAUGAACAUUUAUUUUAUAAAUAGAUCUUUAAAAAAAACUUAAUCUUUCCAUCCAGAAAUAUAAUAUGGUACUGAAUAUGACACAUUCCAGCAUCAUGACGAGUUUGGACAGAUAUCUUACAACUAAAAUAUAUCCAAUACUACCUUCAUUCUAAAAUGUAGCUAUUUCUAGCACAGUACUUUGUCCCAAAAUGAAGCUAUUUUUCUACCUACCUUCCCCUCUCAACCAAUCACAACCAUUCUUUUUCACCUACUUUCUCUUUUCAACCAAUCACACACCUUCUUCAAUUAUUCUCACAUACUUUCUUAAUACCCGUGCUAACCUCAAAAAUACUUACAUUUUGGGACGGAGGAAGUAUGAUACAAGAUUGCUAUAUCAUGUAACAGAUGAAAUAUUCUGUCACCGAGCUACAGGUUUGAAUAUAACAAUCUAAAGAUGAGAUACUAGUACUAUAUAGUUAGAAUAGACUCCUUUCCGCUCUCUCGGAGAGACUCAUAGCUCUAGUUCUACAUUUUUAUAAUAUGUAACGAAGAGAUUAAGUCCUUGGUUAGUUUGGGAAAAAUUUUAGAUUUGGUUGGUAUAUUGGAUAUACGGACACAUAUUUAAAGUAUGAAACAUAGUUUAAUAAUAAAACAAAUUACAGAUUUCGUCAGAAAACUGCGAGAUGAAUUCUUUAAGUCUAAUUAAUUCAUCAUUAGCAAAUAUUUACUGUAGCACCACAUUGUCAAAUCAUGGCGCAAUUAGGUUUAAAAGAUUCGUCUCGUAAUUUACACGUAAACUGUGUAAUUGGUUAGUUUUUAUCCACAUUUAAUAAUUCAUGCAUAUAUCUAAAUAUUCAAUGUGAUGGGUGAAAUUUUUUGUUUUGAGAGCUAAAAAGGGCCUAAGUUUUUUAAGGAUUUAUUUAUAAAAUAUGUUUUCAGAAAAUGGCUAGUGUGAAAAGCCCAGUCCUGAGUCACCUCCUGCAAACUGCAAUCAACAGGGGCAAUAAUAGUCAGCAAUAAAUAUCAGCCACCAUGAUUGAUGAACCCCUCCAAAAUCGAGUGGCCGAGAGAUACCCAAAGACGGGAUUUUUAUCCCGCACCCAACGCCUCGGCGCGGGAUCACCACGCGCUUGGCGAUCAGUGCGUACAGCGAUCGCGAUCGCCGGUGCGCGCGGGGGUGUAUAAUUUUCCACGGCGGCGAGGGGAGGGGAGGGGAGGUCGUGGAUGCGGCGAGGCGGGCGGUCGGUGUCGGGAAAGGGGCGUGGAGUAAUGCGCGUGUUUGAAAAACGGGGUCUCUCGACCAAUCCGGAAUGAACCAGUGGUUGGAUUUGGGCUCGUUCUUCCGGUAAAGGGCAUGUUAAGAGAAGUUUUUAACCAGCUGCAGGUUCUCUCGGAUUCUUUAGCUAUCCCAAAUAGUCCGCAUUAUUAUUUGGAUUCAGAUUCUGGUAAUAUAUAAUUGUAAAAUCUAAAAAAAUAAAAUAGAAACUGUAUUAAGCUGAAAAACCAAGUUUCUUCAGGUUAUAAGAAGCUGACUAUCAAACUAAGCUGGCUAUCAAACAGUAGAUUUAAGCUCCCUGAACAGGGUUUUUGUUGUGGUAGGGUUUUUGUUCCAUUGUUUGUUAUAUGUCACAUAAAUAGUUAGAAAAAUAACAAGUUAGAUUCAUACAAGAUAUAUCCGUUUAAAUUCAACUUCUAUAAGUUAUAAUAAAAAAACACAAAUAUAAUUGUGAAUUUACGUUAACUCGUUUGAAUUUAAUAUGUUCUUUUAGUUAUAACUUGAAGAAGUGAAAUUUAAAAUUGCAUUUUGUGAGACGAUAUAUCCCAUAUUAAUUUAUUUUAUAAUUUUUUUCUUAAAUUUUUCAGUGUCCAUUUUGAUGAGAUACAAUAAACAAGCAGAUGUUUGGAGUAGGGGUGGACAUUCGGUCUGACCGAAAAUUUCGGUCUCGGUCUUUGGUCUUUAAAAAGUAAAGAUCAAAUUUCAAUGCAAAAAUAUCAGGACCGACAAAUUCAGUCUCGGUCUCGGUCCUGACCCAAAUUCAACAACACUUUCAUAUACGCAAAGAAGCAAUGGAAAUUUUCAAUACAAAAAUCACAGAAAAAAUGUAAGCACUUAUGAGUAAAUACUCUUAUUAGGUUGUAUGCCUAGAAGAAGUAGGAUGCGAAAAAUAGAGUUUAAUCCUAUUGAACAUAGUGAUUGUAUGUUACAUUUAUACUUUUUUUUUUGUUAAUUCAGUCUUUUUGGUCUAUUCGGUGAGACUAACCGAAUUGACCAAAUAAAAUUCGGUUUUUCACUUUCUAGGAUUGAAUUUUUCGGUCUCGGUCUUUUUGGUUCGGUCUUUUUCUGACCACCGCUACUUGGAGGAUGAAAAUCCAUCUCCCGACACAAGUCCCAGCCAGGACGCACUAAGCACUGGAAACAGCUGUGGGAGCUGGAGUACCUUGUAGUCUCGUCCUUUGCUCUAUGCCUGCGGUGACAAUGUGAGGCUAUGAGCAGUAAGCUGGUGUAAAUAAUUGAGUUAGACAAGUCAAUAGAAAUUAGUAGAAUUAAGUAGUAGGAGUAAUGGUAUGUAUGCUUCCGGUCAUAAGGAUUUAACUUGUAAGAUAAAGGCUAAUCAAACUUUUCGUAAGAUCUUGACCAUUAGUAUUGCCGUAAACCUACUAUACUUACAAACUUUUUAAAACAUAUAAUUGUUGUUUAUAGUGUUUGACAAAAUGUCAUCCUAAACGUCAAAGCAACAACUUGUUUAUUUGGUUGACAAAACAGUCUAAAUGCCCUUCAAAACUUUGACCGAGGGUGCAUGUAGCCUCUUUUCUGGAUAAAUUAACAGGAUCUGCUUAUAUGUAGGAGAGUUCACUGGCCUGUUAGAGCCAAUGUGCUUGAGAUUGUUGAUGUGCUCCGUAUUGAAGAAGUGGUUUCGGAUGGUCCAAAAUGUAACAAAGAAAAACUUAUCUAAUCCAAAUUAAAAAGACUGAGUAAAUAAUAGUUCAAAAUAAAAUUUUAAAAAUAAAAGAUGAUCCAAAGUGUAAUUCGCUAAAAAGAAGAAGAAAUCAAGAGGAGAAGAAGAAAAGUACGUAUAAGAACCGCCAAACCUGGAUGCAUAUCACUACCAUUCAGGUAAUACCGCCUUCCUAACCUAUAUGUGUGUAAGUACGUACGUGCGUAAAAGAAAAGUAGAGAAACGCUCAAGGGUUUUCCGACUAGUUUCACAAGGUGGUGGACUAGACGACCUAGAUUCGAAGCCUUACCCAUUCUAAUUAUUUGACAUUAUGUCCUUCCCUAAUAUUCGACCUGAGUUCAAAGCCUCACAUCUUCUAAUUAUUUGAUAUUAUUAGGUCCUUCUAUAAUAUUCGACCUGGGUUCAAAGCCUCGCUCAUUCUAACUAUUUAAUAUUAGGUUCUUCCGUAAUAUUCGUGAUUUUUAAAAAGAAUAGUACGUUUUGAAGAAGAAGAAGAAGAGAGUAGUACUUAGGAACCACCAACGAUCCCCUCCUAUUCGUCCCUAGACUUCUCUCCUCUUUUUUCUCUCUAUUUAUUUUUAAAAAGUCUCCUCUCCUUUUUAUGGUGUAGUUGGCUCAGCAAUAACCAUAGCUGCUAAACUACAAAUUUAAUUUCUAAUUUAUUUCAAUAAUUGUAUUUCUCAUGAUUAAAUCAAUAAUUUAAGAUUAUGAAAAACAGAAAAUGAACCAACACUAUAGCUGUGUGUACAUCAUCCAAUUAGUCUAAAAAAUUCAAGAUAACUUUGCCAGAGUAGACGGCUAAAUUACCACAAUUCAGGACACAUGUAUGUUUUGAAAAAAAAUAGCUUGUAGAUCUAAUAAUUAGAGAAAUUUUAUAACUUCUAAGGGAAAAAAACAAAUAUUAACCAUUGGUUUUCACUUAAACCGGUGGACCUAUAGUUACCACUAGAUUAUGUAUCUAGGAAACAACCGGCUAAUCCCACCUUCUUAAUCCCAAUCCUGUACGUAAGUACAUAUUUAUGCGUGUAAAAGAAAAGUACAUACUUACGAAGUACUGCCAAACCCCAUUCCCGUGCAAUUCGUUCCGUUUGACUCCCCUGCUUUCUAUACGGCAUAGUUGGCUAGUCGGCUAUUUUCUCGAGUAAGUAUCUUCUUGAGUAGGUAAGAAAUAGCCAACUUUGCCAUAUAGAUAGGAAGGGAGUCAAAGCGAGCGAAUUAUUUGCAUUGGCACGGACUAUGGAUAAAGGCGUCGCGGGGUACACAAGGACGACGACGAACAAAAACGGAUUGUGACGAUCGGAAAAAAUGUGUAUCAUUCAAUUUUAAGAUGAAUUCCAAACUAAAAUUGGUAACUUGCUAAAGAUUCGAUGUAAAUUAUAUAAUACAAGAAAAUAAUAUUAUAUGACUUAACUAGGCUAGAAAAAAACUUAGUACUCUAUACAACAUAAUUUUAUCGUGGUAUUAACAUAUUCGUUAUAGUCAUCCAUGUGAGCGGUUUAAUAUAUACAACUAAAAUUGCCUUUCCCCAUUGCAACACACAAACUUUUUUCCUAGUCUUUUUUUUAUUAAUUUAGUAAAAUUUAUCUGAAAAAUGACUGCAUAUUAGUGUUUUGUAUAUAUAUUAGUGAUUUUAAAUGUUGAGGUUUGAUUUAUGGUACGUCUCAGAUAUACACAAUAUCGUAUUAAAGAGAGGGAUACGUGUGAGAUUACAUAGCUAUAAAUACGAUUUGGACCGUUCACCUACAAACUACUAUACUUCCACUAUUUGAUUGCAUGGCUCGGGAUAAUAAGGUUGAAGGACAACAAAUUGGCCUGUGAAACAACAGUUAAUUUGAGUUAAUUAAUCUUAGUAUUUUUAUUUUUAAAACGAAAUUAAUCUAGAUUUUUUAACCUAUAACAUGGCUAGCUAGUGACCAGCGACAAGCUUGAACGGAGUAUACAACCGCUUAGAGCAGGUACAAUGCUAUAAGCCACCUAUAAACACAUAUCGAGAAGAUAAAUGAUGAUAGAGAAGAUUUUUAUCAGUGAAAUAGUGAAUGACGCUAUGAUUAUACAUGUUAAAAAAAUAUGAAUUAUCAACUUCAAAUUAAAAAAAAAGAGCAUUGCCGAAACAUAAUUAGGAUGUGAGUCAAGGAUGAAAAUGAGUUGGAUUCGGACAACUAAUUGAUGUAUCAUAUUCUAUUCCACAGUAUCUUCAUGGAGAUUUAGACAAGGCACAGAUAAUAGAAGGUGUGAAUGUCCGAAACAUUAGUUUUUUAUAUAUAAGUUUUUUGAAAAACAAAUUAUCUAAUUUCAAGUUUAUAAUAAUUAAUAAUUAAUUAAUGAUACGCUAAUAAUUUGUCUCGUUUCAAGUGUUGGCUAAGAUCAAACCGAUGUCCCGAACGCAGCUUUUAGAUUCUGAACUCACGAGAGUCUUUAGGUUAAAAGUCAUGCUGUGGAGCUAUAGCCUAAACAAUAUCGCUAAAUAUCUUUUUUUUAAAAAAUAAUAUAUCCUACAAAUUCUCAAUCACCAAGUAUCCUACAAAAAAUCAAAAUGGUUCUACACUGAAACUGCAUUUUUCUACGUACCCUCACAUAACUGUGGUAAAAACAAAUUGAGAACAUAAAAUACCACACAAUCUACAUUCACACCAUAUGCCCUGAUACUUUUUGAACUUUGUUUUGGAAGCACUCUACUACUCGUCUACUGCAAAAGAUAAAGAAAGAAAAACAAAUAUAGCCUAGCCACAUAUGCUGAACUCAACUCACGUUAAAAACUAAAACAUUUGUCUUUUUCGUUUACCUAGAUUAUGUUUAAAUAUAAUUCUUGGUGGAAUAGUACAUGAUAGUAUAUUUACGUAAAACUCUAUUAUAAUUUUUCACGAUUAUCUUUACUACUUUAACCUCUCCUAUUAUCCAUAAAAAAAGAACCGGCACACUCAAAGGAGUGAAAAAUAUUAUUCUACAUCUUAUUGUAACGUAAGGAUAUGGUAUUAGUUUACAUUAGACCUUAUUCGUUCAAUCAAAAAAAAAUACCGAGGAUGAAAUUUUCACAUCAUAUAUGUGAAAUAAAUUCUACUUUCUUCAUUCUAAAAUGUUGCAAUAUAGAACGUGAUUUAAUGAUAAUAAAUCUGAAACAGGUUACUUCCUCCAUUCUAAAAUAUAAUAACUUUAAAAAACGGAACACAUUAUAAUACUCCAUCCGUCCCAAAAUAAGUGCAGCUAUGGUUUUCCGCGUCCAAUUUUGAUCGUUCGUCUUAUUUGAAAAAAUUUUGAAAAAAAAUUAAAAACAUAAGUCACGAGCAAAGUACUAUUCAUGUUUUAUCAUCUCAUAGCAAUAAAAAUGCUAAUUAUAAAAAAAAUUUAAAUAAGACGGAUGAUCAAAGUUAAGAGUGAAAACUCAUGACUGCACUUAUUUUGGGACGGAGGUAGUACUAGAGGUCACCCCGCGCGUUGCUGGGGAAAUUUAAGCAAUUACAAAUGUCAAAAUUUUGGAUGAAAUAUAAUCACCUUAAAAGGAAAAACCUAACCCAAUUUAUCACUGCGCGUGAGGAAUAUUUGUACAAAUAAAAAUAAUCUUCAACCGUACCAAGUUCAUAGCCUGCAAAUAAUAUUUUUCAAACGUAUGGCUUCGAUAUUGGUACCAUUAAUUGGAGGGAAACUCAACUGGCACUCCCUUCCACUCAUAUUAUACAAAACAAAUUAAGGGAAUAAGUAACAACAAAUUGCUAAAAGAAAUGUUGAUCCGCUGGAGCAUGAGCAUAUAUAUAGCGGCAAAAUAAACGCAGCAGCAUGGCUAACGGAAUGAAGGAUUGAUCGCAACGAUCAAGUAUAGCAACUGGACUCUGGACAGGAGGGCUUGUGGUCAGCAUGUCAAUCCACUGCGAUGGUGUUUUCAGAGGAAUCAGGAAUAAAGGCCGAGUAUUCACCUAAUUCAUUUAGCUAGAGGAUGGAAUAUAUGCAGUGCAAGUGCAGUGGAAGAUGGAAGGCCUGCUGCGUGAGCCAAUGAAUGAAUAUCCAACGUUUUGGUUUCAAUCAGGAGAUGACCCGUCAGGAACAAACGGUUUAACUGUUGAAUAGGCCCCUUUGUUAAUUACUGUCGUGCAUGAUGAUCGGAAUUAAAAAAAAAACGAAGAGGUGCAUCCCACUAUCGCUCUUUACACCCUCAUUUGCAAUCUAGCGGCUAGGUGGAAUCUAUCUGCAAUCCAACGGUCAGGUGGAAUAGAGGUGAUGUGGAUCACUCCUGGAGAAGGAAAUUAGUUUUAAUUGUAGUUAGUGGGAUGACCUAUAUAGAUAUAUAUAUAUAUAGGAUACUGUUCUUAUUCGCAAUAUUAAAAUAUAUUUCAAUUAUUUAAAAAUUGUUUAUAUUUCUGGACAGACGAAAACAAACAAUAAUCCCCGUGUCCUCGCAGUGAGGCUCGCACCGCCCAGCAUCCUUGGAAACAGAGUGAGCGUCCAAAACCGGCGGCGACGCGCUCCCCGUUUCGCCGCUUUCCGCUCAUCUCGCGUAUAAAAACAUGGCGUCUCCCCUGACCACCACGCCUCCACCACCUCCGCAUCACUAGCAAGCGCAAGCGCCGCGCACUGUGACCGAGCGGAGGCGGAGGCGGAGUAGCCGGGUCGGGAACUCGGGAUGGCGAUCUGCGGGGCGAAGGCGGCGGCGCCGUCGCUGGUGGUGGCGGCGAGCAUGGGCGCCGUCGAGGCGCUCAAGGACCAGGCGGGCCUCUGCCGCUGGGACUACGCCCUCCGCUCCCUCUACCUCCGCGCCGCCGCCUCCUCGCCCAGGCUGCGUUCCCCCCUCUCCAACACCGCCGCCGCCGCCGC
Molecule: long non-coding RNA, 8510 nt
Filed under: Oryza sativa (Asian cultivated rice)
Lineage: Eukaryota; Viridiplantae; Streptophyta; Magnoliopsida; Poales; Poaceae
Description: long non-coding RNA (OSAT_LNC000264)
Rfam family: MIR812 microRNA precursor family (bases 6898-7103)
Source: RNAcentral